Molecule: ribosomal RNA, 496 nt
Filed under: uncultured bacterium
Lineage: Bacteria
Description: partial 16S ribosomal RNA
Rfam family: Bacterial small subunit ribosomal RNA
Source: RNAcentral
GAUGAACGCUGGCGGCGUGCCUAAUACAUGCAAGUCGAGCGAACGGACGAGAAGCUUGCUUCUCUGAUGUUAGCGGCGGACGGGUGAGUAACACGUGGAUAACCUACCUAUAAGACUGGGAUAACUUCGGGAAACCGGAGCUAAUACCGGAUAAUAUUUUGAACCGCAUGGUUCAAAAGUGAAAGACGGUCUUGCUGUCACUUAUAGAUGGAUCCGCGCUGCAUUAGCUAGUUGGUAAGGUAACGGCUUACCAAGGCAACGAUGCAUAGCCGACCUGAGAGGGUAAUCGCCCACACGGGACCUGAGCCACGGUCCAGACUCCUAGGGGAGGCAGCAGUGGGAAUCUUCCGCAAUGGGCGAAAGCCUGACGGAGCAACGCCGCGUGAGUGAUGAAGGUCUUCGGAUCGUAAAACUCUGUUAUUAGGGAAGAACAUAUGUGUAAGUAACUGUGCACAUCCUGACGGUACCUAAUCAGAAAGCCACGGCUAACUACGUG